GUUUUGUGGCUAAGUCUGUCAAGGUGUGGUGGGGUAGUGAUGAGACAGCAAGCUGGUGUAUGUUUCCUAUGAGAGGUAGUCGCCAUGGCCCUGGAGGGAGCUUUGAAGUUGAGCUAUUGGGUUUGGUUGUGUUAAUCAAGAUUUUGAGUACGAUGAAAAUGAAGAGCAGGAAGGCCAAGAGGAGAGGUGGUGAUGGAAACUGAAGCUCCAUUGAUCAGUAUCAUAGCAAGGUGAUAUGGAAGAGAGGUCAAGACUCGAAGAUUAAACAAUCGGAUUUGGAAGCCCAUUGUGAGCGUUCUGGAGGACAAGUUUAGAAGGGGUCUUUAGCUGAGCAACUGUUUUGAAGUCUUUUGAGUUGUUUUGAGUGCCUCUGAGUUAGGGCUAGGCCUGGAAGGCCGUUGUCAAGCUUUUGCUUAUGAUGUACACUUGUGACAUGUGCUUAUGUUUUGUAUAAGAUAUUAUGUUAUCGUUAUGUAUUGUAAAUGGGUAAAUUAACGUUUUUGCAUGUACAUAUUUAUUAAUAUAGAUGCACAGCUCAUUGGACUAUUGGUGUUUUUGUC
Camellia sinensis is the source of this 560-nucleotide non-coding RNA. The record is from RefSeq and is a predicted model, not a curated record. NCBI's taxonomy places the organism in Eukaryota, Viridiplantae, Streptophyta, Magnoliopsida, Ericales, Theaceae.